AGAUGUAUUGAGACGUGGAACAGUUUAAAUGAAGAAGUAGUGUCUGCAACGAGUGUGCAUACUUUUAAAGUAAGAUUGGAUAAGUGUAGAUGUGGAGACGGGGCCACACAAGCAUAAAGCCCGAUGAAAUGAUGAAGUGUAUGAAAGGAAUGACCUAAAAUAGAAAUGAACACCUUCAUUCAAGAAUCUGGAAAAUAACACCCAAGCACAGAGGUGCUUCACCUAGAAUGAUCAAGUUCGCUGCUGCCACUGCAGUUGCAACAUACAAUGCUGGGUAUGAAGGUGGCUUCUUCAGUUUGCUUCUGAACACUGAAUUUACUUCAUCUAUGCAAGCAUAUCUACAAAGAAAGGACAAGGAUACGGACACACCAGUAAGAAGAUGAAGCAGAAGUUUGUUCGCAAGAGCCAGGUAGACUACGCAGCUGGGUUAUUCUGAGGUCUGGCCAACAAGAAACGCUGCUUCUCAAAAUGUAUAAAACCAUGAUCUCAGUAAAAUUUCAUAAUAAUCA
This is a long non-coding RNA of Portunus trituberculatus (swimming crab), 509 nucleotides long. RefSeq lists it as uncharacterized. The transcript has 2 exons. The record is from RefSeq and is a predicted model, not a curated record. Lineage: Eukaryota; Metazoa; Arthropoda; Malacostraca; Decapoda; Portunidae.